UGAGCAAUCUGCCCUUCUCAUCGGAAUAAGCGUUGGAAACGACGUCUAAUGCCGAAUACGACCUCCUUUCGCAUGAUCGGAGGUGGAAAGCUCCGGCGGAGAAGGAUGAGCUCGCGGCCUAUCAGCUUGUUGGUGAGGUAAUGGCUUACCAAGGCGACGACGGGUAGCCGGCCUGAGAGGGCGACCGGCCACACUGGGACUGAGACACGGCCCAGACUCCUACGGGAGCAG
Molecule: ribosomal RNA, 231 nt
Filed under: uncultured bacterium
Lineage: Bacteria
Description: partial 16S ribosomal RNA
Rfam family: Bacterial small subunit ribosomal RNA
Source: RNAcentral